CUCUCUUUUCACCACAGUCUGGUAAAAACUCUGUUACAGGGGCUUGCUUGGUCAGUUGUCUGACUUCAGCUCAGGUCAUGAUCUCCCGGCUUGUGAGUUGGAGCCCUGCACCAGGCUCUGUGCUGACAGCUCAGAGCCUGGAGCCUGCUUCGGAUUCUGUCUCCCUCUCUCUCUGCUCCUCCCCUGUUCACUCUCUCUCUCUCUCUCUCAAAAAUGAAUAAACAUUAAAAAAAAAAUCAAAAAACCUCUGUUACAGACUUCCAUUGGUUUCCGUAUCAACAUUUGGGUAUCCACCGCCCAAACUAUAAUUCUAGACCAUGCACUUGUAUUUUCCUCCCGGAACCCUAUAUACUGGACCCGAUAACUUUGCUGCCUUGGGCAAUUUUCAAUUCUCAGAGAGCGACUUGCUUUUCCUGCCACUUCUCAUGCUAUUCCCUCUGCUUGGAACACUCCCUGCCCACCUGGAAAACUCUUUGUUCUCAAAUGCUGCCAGUUCUGUGAAGUUUUCUUGACCUUCACCAUCCCAGGACAUUAAUUAUCCCAUCAUUGGUGUUCCCAUAGAACUUGCCCCUUGGCACCCGACUCACUUAUUUAUGGAUCUGUUCUUUGCUGACUUGACUUGGCAAACAUUAUUGGCCCCCAAAUCAGUUAUUUACAACUAUAAGACACCCGGGAGCAGCGGGAGGGAGAGGGCAGGGGAGGGAAGAGGGACCACAGGGAAGAAUAUAUUCUUUUCAGAGGUUAAAAUGAGUUAUUUAGGAAAUGUGAUGUACAAUACCAUGCAUUUACUCUCCAAAGCUAGUCACUAGCAAGCUAACGCCUCUAAUACUACAACCACCAAUUACAGCUGUUUUGCUACAGUUACUGAGUUCUAACUACAGCUAUAGGGCAGAAAGGGUGGGCUGUUUCCAUUUUAAACUUUCUCCCUUUGAAAAUGGCCAUAAAAGUGUUCUCUGUACAAGUUUAAUGGCACAAAAAGGUGACCCAAAACUUUUUUUUUUUUAAAGAACUUACCACACAUAAGAAAUGCAAACUUCAAUCAAAACAUGCAUUAGCUGUGUACAAGUCAUAAAGGAUCAUUGGCUUCAAGCUGCAAUAUAUUACAGGACCAUACAUUGGAGACGUUUUGGUAUAACUUCUUACUUGCUCAAAUCCCUUUAGGAGAACUCAGAAAGAAAAGCCAUUGGAAAGGGUGUUCCGUUUCGUAUUGCCAAGCGGUGACAUUCCCAAGGGCUGUGCGUCCUAUUGAAUAAAUUAGCACCUACAAGCUGACUUCUUGAGGCC
This 1284-nucleotide long non-coding RNA is filed under the name Felis catus (domestic cat). RNAcentral describes it as "lncRNA (ENSFCAG00000053001.1)". The record is from RNAcentral. Lineage: Eukaryota; Metazoa; Chordata; Mammalia; Carnivora; Felidae.